AGCCUUGCUUGUUUUCUCUGAACCGCAAUAGGAUGGUGUUCACAGCGAUUCAAAGGGUGGCAUUGGGUUGGACGUUUUGGUUACGAGCCAGCCUAUUCCCACAUUGUACGUGAAUGUUUAAUGUGCUCUCAAAACAUGGAAAAUAAGUUUAGUGCACAUAGCUAAAUCACAAAACAUCCGAUUUCUGUUUCCUCAGGAAGUCAUUACUGCGCCACCACAUCACGUGACCUUAACAUGAUCAAUGUAUUUCUCUGCCUUGACAUUUAAAUAAACUAUAUAAAUUAAGAUAAGUAGAUUAGAAAAUCAUUCAAAUUAUACCAUAAUCUGUACAAAUAUUGUGUCCCCUGCCAGGCAAGGGACAGGGUGCCGGCGACGGCCGCGUGGCCAAGGCCCCGCAGGAAAGCUCCCAGGUCUCCCUCACUCUCCAGGUGCCCUUUGCACCCAACAGUGCGUGUGAGGAACGAACUGCUGUUUGAACGUCCCCUGAGAUUGUGCGUAGCCCCGUGUAAAUGUAAUAGCCUCCAUGGCUUAAUUGGCUAUCAAGCGAAUUUUCCCAGAUGAAAGCAAUGUUGGGUUAGGGGACGACGGUGCAGCCACCCAGCCUUUACCAGCAGCGUGCUGCAGACGAAGGCAGUCAAGGUGUGGAGGUGAUCACGCAGGUGCAGCUCAGUUGCCGUGAUGCUCCUUGAGUCAAUGAGCUCUUUGGUCUGCUCUUCUGCUCAAGCAGAAAAGGAUUGGCACUUCACCCUUGAGAAGCUGACAAGAACCACAGGCUUCUUCAGGCAGGUGGUGGAACAUGGGUGUAUCCUGCAGGUGCUCACAGUAUCUCCCUUUGCUCAGGCUCUAGCCUGAUUUUCUGGCUCAUAAGGCCAAAGGGAGCUGGAAAAGUCCCCACGGCAGGACUCAUGGUGGAGAGAGAAUGAUCUAGAGGAUUCAGGCCUCUGCAUACUGUGUCUGGGUCCCUCCUUAAAGAAUGAUAAAGACAAGUAAAGAGCUUGAAGCAGCCUGGAGUCCAGCCAGAAACCUUUAACUGAGCUUUAAAGGAGAUGGUCACAACACUUUUCAGAAUACUGGCAAAGGCCUCCUGUGGCCAGGUUUGUCCUGGGAUGAGCAAAAUUUAAUGUUAACCUGCUGUAUCUUUGCUUUUAAUAUAUCUGCUUGCCCAUCACAAUGAUGUUAUGGUUAAUUUCACCAAUUUGGUAACCUGCCUCUUGGGAAGUACGAAAGUAAGCAAGGGCCAGGUGUGGUGACUCACGCCUGUAAUCCCAGUACUUUGGGUGGCUGAGGCGGGUGGAUUGCUUGAGCCCAGGAGUUCAAGACCAACCUGGGCACCAUGACAAAACCCCGUCUCUACAAAAUAUACAAAAAUUAACCAGGAGUGGCAGUGCAUGGCUGUAAUCCCAGCUACUCGGAGGCUGAGGUGGGAGAAUCUCUUGAGCCUGGGAGGCAGAGGUUGCAGUGAGCUGAGAUCACACCACUGCAUUCCAGCCUGGGCAAUGAAGUGAGACCCUGUCUCAAAAAAAAAAAAAAAAAAAAAGAGAGAGAAAGACAGUGAGGGUGUCCUGUGAAUCAAAUCUUUGAAUGGAUGUUUUCUUAACUAACCAAGACCUCUGUAAGAAUUCUGUCUUUGAUUCCACAAUAAAGUGGUGUGAAAUUACUAUAAGCAAA
Molecule: long non-coding RNA, 1668 nt
Organism: Homo sapiens (human)
Lineage: Eukaryota; Metazoa; Chordata; Mammalia; Primates; Hominidae
Product: long intergenic non-protein coding RNA 2675
Source: Ensembl